CCUACGGGCGGCUGCAGUGGGGAAUAUUGCACAAUGGGCGAAAGCCUGAUGCAGCAACGCCGCGUGAGCGAUGAAGGCCUUUGGGUCGUAAAGCUCUGUCCUUGGGGAAGAAAAAAAUGACGGUACCCUUGGAGGAAGCCCCGGCUAACUACGUGCCAGCAGCCGCGGUAAUACGUAGGGGGCGAGCGUUAUCCGGAAUUAUUGGGCGUAAAGAGUGCGUAGGUGGUUUUGUAAGCGCGGGGUGAAAGGCUAUGGCUCAACCAUAGUAAGCCUUGCGAACUGUGAGACUUGAGUGCAGGAGAGGAAAGCGGAAUUCCUAGUGUAGCGGUGAAAUGCGUAGAUAUUAGGAGGAACACCAGUGGCGAAGGCGGCUUUCUGGACUGUAACUGACACUGAGGCACGAAAGCGUGGGGAGCAAACAGGCUUAGAUACCCGGGUAGUC
RNAcentral lists this ribosomal RNA (442 nucleotides) under uncultured Anaerovorax sp. RNAcentral describes it as "bacterial SSU rRNA". It matches the Rfam family "Bacterial small subunit ribosomal RNA", at positions 338 to 795 of the family's 1533-position model. Lineage: Bacteria; Bacillati; Bacillota; Clostridia; Peptostreptococcales; Anaerovoracaceae. The record is from RNAcentral.